CUAUUUUUUUUUUUUGGGGGGGGGAGUGGAGUAUAAAGUGGAAAAUUCAAAGCCCUUAAAAUGCUUAGGAAUUGUAAUGGUACCUUUAAUAUGAUCAGAUUGUGAUAGGCUAUGCAUGCUUCACUCUCAUGGAGGCAUGGCGGUGGGGGCAAAAAUACAGCCUUUUUAAAGUUGUGGUCUAAAGAGUGAACAGGCCAAAACUGAGGAAAAACAGAUUUUGUUUGUUCUUCCAUUUAGAAUCAAAGGAAAAUUAAAUACUGAAGGAUUGAUCCUCUUCCAGAAUGAUCAUUAAGGUUGGUUAGUUACUUUAAUUCACUUAGAGUAGUGCUCAAGACAAUUUGUUUCUGAUAUCCCCAUCAGCUGAAGCAAAAGGUUUUCUUUUCCUUUCCUCCUUUUUUACCUGAUGAGACCACAAAAGGCAUUGUGAAGAGGGAAGGGCAGGAGACAGAAGCCUGUUUACUCAUGCCAUGUCCCUUUUUCAUUAUCCUGUGUCUGUUUUCUGCAUGCUGAACACUAUCUACAACUUUUAAUGCCCAAUUUAAAUUGAUUUCAAAUAAGCGUCAGAGGAAUGCAUAAGCAGAGAUGUCUGUUUCACAUCAGGGAACAGCAGAGAGAGUAUCUUGGUCACCCUUUAAGCUCAUAUACUCUGCUGCAUGUAUGCUAACUCCAUGGAUCAGCACCUUUGAAAAAUGAGUCCAUUAUUAUACAAAAUGUCCCUAUGAACCAUUUUUUUUAAAACGCAAUAUAUCUACAAAAUUAACCCCUGGACAGCUUUCAAGGCUCUCUCCCUUCCAUAAUAACACGGUCACAGUUAGAAAACACAUCUUGAUGUUUAAUUACUGCAGACAACCGGGAUGUCUGCAGUAUCUAUGCUAUUGAAAAGACAACAGUGAUAGUAUCACCAGGUCUGCUAUGAUGUACAUGAAAUGCUGCUGUAACCUCUACUGUGUGUACCCCAUAUCAUGUAGUGAAUAGAGGGGUCACAGUCCCUUAACCUUUCCUGUUCCCAUCCCAUCAGAUCCAUCCCAAGAAACAUUAUUAGGAUAAUGGUUCUUCUGGGGCAAGAUAGUUACCUCCUAAAUCAACAUUACUUCUUAAUGAAUAGCAUUUUUUUUCUGUGGAGCUCUUGAGUUGGGCCUAGCUCUGCUUAAUUUAAAGUAGCUGUGUUGACAUAAUAUAUUUAGACUUCUGUAAUGUGUUUGACUUAGUACUGCACAACAUUCUGAUUAAAAACAAUUAUCGCUAUACAAAAUCGGUGUUGUACAUAUUAAACGGCUCCCAAACUGUCUCAACGAUAGCUUGUGGAAGGGAGCUGUAAAUCAGGAAUCAUCACUCAGGGGAAGUUUCCAAUUCCUCUGGGGUCUCACCGCAGGUUUGGUGAGACAGAGCAGAAGAUCCAGCAAAGGAUGGCUGGUAUAAAAGACACAAAAGGCUGAUUUCAAUAGUAAGUCAGGCCAUGCAGUGGACAGAAAUCAUCCAGCGUCUGCUUUCAAUGUAACAAAACCCAGGUUCAUAAUUUAGGCUAUACUUCUCCAGUAAGUGCUGUAUAAUAGAAGUGAAUUAAUCUGAAAAUGCUGGAGGACAUCACGAGAACCCAGCUGAAUGUGACCCCUCAGAACAGUGUGGUAACUGAGGAGGCUGAUGUGUGACCACAUGAACAAGGAGGGUGAGGCAGGUUGAACCACUUCCAUAAUGGCAGCCUCUGUCUGACAGAGAGACACAAUGUCAGCUUUUGAAAUCUGCACCUUUUUUCUUUUUUUUUUUUAUUUUUUUAUUUUUUCUUCUGUGAGUGGUGCCCCUGCCUGGGAGCCAGUAGUGGGGGCCUCUGUGAGGAGAGGCCUGCACUGCCUCACACAGGCCACAGCUGGUUCCAGAUUAUUCUGUGGCGGCCCCACCUCAGCACACCUGAGGCCCUCAGCGACGACGGCACCUCAGGGACAGCGUAUUUAAGAAACAGCAAAAAGUACUGCCUGGCAGUGAGGAAUGAGGGAAAAAAGUGUGAGAAACAGCAACAUGAACCCCAAGGGCAGAGGAGAAGGAUAAGAAGGUGCUCUGAGCAGGUAUUCCCCCGCAGCCUGCAGAGGACCUAACAUGGGAACAGCUUUGCUGUUUCCUCAGUUACCUGAAGAACAGAGUCCUUGUGCAACAUUACAUAUUGCCUGUUUACACUGAUUCACUGCAGCAUCACUUGGCCUCUUCAGCUAUACCUCUCCAUCGGAUGAAGGCUUCUUGCAUGGAAGCACCAAUGUAACAGAAUAUCUAAUACAAGAAACAAAUAUUUCUGGAGGAUCGCCAAAAAAGAAGAUGGACUCAGCUGCAGUAACUGAAGGAAAGAAGGAAGAUGAAGCCACAGAGCCUAAGCAGGGCAACAGAGAAGGACGAGCUGCAGCAAGAUAAUUCUUAUUUAAAAUUGUUCCAUGAAGAAAGUAUGUCUUGGAUUGUAUCCACUCAACCCCGGAAGACAGAGCUGUGUAGAGCACACAUUUUCAUUAGCUUCAGUUCUGUCCCUACCGCCAAAACAGAGUGAGAAGAGGAUGCUUUGUGGUCUUGUGGAAGUAAAAACAGAAGAGAAUGCAGCUUGAUGGGUACACACAGGUCAAAAUCCCACCAUCACCUCUGCCAGCACAAUGGAGCAGCGAAGGUCAUCAAGCACUGGGAGGUGGCUGAGUAGAGUCCGGCCAGAGGCGUGGCAGUUGAGGAAGAGCAUCCCGGUAGUUUUACAGCAGGAGCAAUGACCCUUGCUUUGUUUCUGCAGGAAAUGAAUAUAACUUUUUGAGCUUCUUUUCAGGUAAGAAAAUUCAGAUUCUCAUGCAGUUCCUCAUUUGUAUAAUGCCACAGAAAGUGACACAGUCACUUGUUAAACAGUGUUGGUUCUCAGGUACGGUGGAGAAACAUUAACAUGGCAGCUUCAUCUUCUCUUUGAGUGCUUAGGUAGUCCAGUGAUUAGCUCAGUCUGAGGCCUAAAGAGAUACUCAGUGAAGGAUGGGCAACUUUAAUUUGGUUGGAGUGAUAAAGUGAUAAUGGUGAUUAAAGCCUUUGAUGCAUCUUGAUUCAGAGUUUCAGCCAUUGUACUGACUUCUCUACAUGUCAAAAGGUUGCAGUAUUAUCUGAGAAGAAAGACUUCUUGUCCUUGGGCACAAAUUAGUAGAAAGAGUCUAUCCAUUGUUAGUGCAGUUCCAGGUAAAAUUUUUUCUUUGUUCCUGGUUUUGGAUGCCCUUGGAAUGAUCCACCAAAUGCUACGUGAACCUUGGUGUAAAUUAGAAAAGGGUAGCUUUAUCUGGUACUUGAUAGAAAUGACACUAAUGGCAUUGGGUGUCUUUUCCAGAGGUGGGUUUUGCUUGAUAGAAAGAGGAAGAAAGCAAGUAGAAAAAGAGUAUUUUGUGGGGGGAGGAUAUUAUCAUUUCUUUUAUUCAAGAUAGAGGUUUUGUAGAUCAAAGUGGAGGGUGCAGUUCAUCUUUGGGUGCAUUUGGAUGAAAUCACUAAAUAUGUAUCCUGAAAAUCCAGUAGUGUUAGGCAUUUGUUGAUUUUUUUUUUCCUUUUGAAAACAUUGCCUAAAAUUUUUAUUUUUUUAUAAGACAUGACUGCUGAUGAUAAAGCAGCAGCACAUAAUUACUACAAGGCAUGGGCAGAGAAAGAGAACUAGAAGCAUGCCCAUGUUAAUGUUUGAGAUCAGGCACUUCCUUUUUAAAUGCCUGCAGCUGCAUAACAGCCCACUCCUGAAGUCCUUGCUCAACAGAAACUCCUACUAACCUCAAAGCACCACUGUGGGAAGCGAAACACCAAGAGCGUGCUGCAAGAGAAACAAGGUCAGUGGGAAAUUUCACUUGGCCAGGACUGCAAGAGUUAAGCUGGAAGAGAAAAACAGGUUCUUGUUUGAAGGCAGCUUGUAUCUUAUCAAGAAAUUUACAAUGAUAGGGAAACUCAUGGCACAAACUAAUUCACAAACUAAUUUUUCCUCUGUUGCCAUUGUUAUUACUCCUUUUGAAUAAAAACAAAACAAAAAUCUGUUGUCAUAUUUGGUACAAUACAGGAAGUCAGAGAAAAGCUAUUGUACAGCAAUUUUUAACCACCAACACACAUUUAAUAUCUAGUGUAGCAUUAUGGAAAACUAAAUGUAUGUUUGGAGUUUUUAAUGUUUCCAAAAAGCUUUACUAUUGAAACAUAUAUGUGAUGUGGAAGAUAUGCUCAUAAUCUCACUGUAGUAAAGACGGCAUACAGUAUGACUCAUAAGUACUGUAAAAAUGCUAACUAAAGAAUGCAGCUGCAAAGUUCUAUUGCAUAAGGAAGCUUUCUUGUUUAAACUUUAAAUAAGCAAGUUUAUUAAAAUAUUCUAAGACACUUACCUUACCCUAGUUACUGGCAAGCUCUAAUAAAAGCCACAGUCUGUCACUAGUAUACUUUUUGUGUUAAAUUUAUAAAAAUUUGGUGUGAGCUUUGAUGGAUCAUUUACAAUUUAUUAACAAGAUGAUCAUCUUGAUACAGUUAGGUUUUUUCUUUUUUCUUUUUUUUUUUUUUCAGCCUUACAUGCUCACAGAAUAUAAAAGGAUUCAUAUUCCUAUGUAACGAACACCCUUUUUUCCCAUGUCUGCAAACAAGUGUGGUAAGUUUAUGCACACAAAGAAAUGCUCUUGUUACUCUUAACUGGAAACUGUGUGUACAUGUGUAUGUAUGUAUAUAUAUAUUCAAAACUAUAUAUAUGUGAAUAUAUUUAUAUAAUAGGGUAUCUGUUUUCCUCCUUGCGCUUAUAUGUGUGAUGACAGCUGCACAGAGGCUGAGAGAGAGACCAGUGCUUCUGAGAAAUACCUUGCUUUUGCUGUUCUGAUCAGCUUCUCAUACAGACAUCUACUGACUUAACUGUGUCUGCAGAACUGACAAAAGACUUAAAUUUUGUAAAUUGCCCCAGCAAAUAAAUAUCUGCAGGAACAUAAAGGAAGCAGACUUUACCCCCUUUAAAAAAUCAGGCCCAGCAUGUCCCACCGCUGUCAAUAGCAACCCACACAGAGCCAGUUGCAGCUGACUGCUCCCCACUGUCUCACAAAUCUGAGCUCGUCUCACCUCCUGGCACUGCUCCCGCUGCAAGGGGAGGCAAAGAGCUGUGCUCCUGGGGGAUCUUAAAUUCCAAUUGGGGCAUAAGGAAAGAAGCCCAGAUCAGAAACAAGCCAGGAGGACUUGCAUUUCCUGUUUGCUGAACCUGAUGUACAAGAAGUGCUGCUGCAGAGCCUUGGGCCUGCUUCAUUUGGUGUCAACAAAGAGGCUCUUUUAGUGAUAUGCUUGCAAUAGGCUCUCUCCUGGCCACACCAUAAACAGCAAAUACAGUAGGUUUAGCCAUACAGAAUAGUUACAAUUCAUCUGUGGCUGUAUUAUUCUGCUUUGUCACUUGCACAGUCCAGAUGAAUAUUUUAUAAAAGCUAAACCAGUCCUAUAACUCUUCUCUCCAUAUAAAUAUAUAUAUAUAUAUACAUACACUCAUACAUAUACAAAUACUAACCCACAGACAAAAUAUUUUCUGAACAGUUGAAUAGCAACAAGUCAACAGUUAGAAAAAAAUGGAGUCAAUCUGUUUUCUGCUCCCCGAAGGUCAAGUUUAGAUGUCAUGGUCUUUUAACAUUCAGUGAAAAGUCACAUAACACUUGCGUCUUGCAAGAGGAGUCCAUUAAUAAAUGGAAGUUAGGGUAGAGGCUGUCAAACACCAAUGUAUAGUCGGACAGAUUGUGAGGUUGCAAAUUAAACUGAAUCUGGAGCAACUGAGGCCUAGUAGUGAAGAACAGUAACUGUAAACUGCAGUCUUCAGAUCUGACGUUUCCUUUUUUUCUUGUUGCCAUGGCAACACGGUAGGACAGCUUCAAAUGUCAGGAGUUCUUACAGAC
Long non-coding RNA from Cygnus olor (mute swan), 5867 nucleotides. RefSeq lists it as uncharacterized. The transcript is spliced from 7 exons. The record is from RefSeq and is a predicted model, not a curated record. NCBI's taxonomy places the organism in Eukaryota, Metazoa, Chordata, Aves, Anseriformes, Anatidae.